CGGCGGCCGCCCCGGGCUGGCCGAGAUCUAGCGGGGGGUGUUUCCCGGGCUGGAGACGGGUGAGUGGGGAAAGAGGCGGGGCCGACGCUGACUGGCGGGAAGGGAUGAGGAGCAGGGGCCUUAGCAAAUCCGCGCCUCACACACACAGAUGGAGAGGCGGAGGGGCGGGGAGCCGUGUGUAUUCGGCGGCGCGAGUAAAACGGAAGGCGGGGGUUCGGUGGAGAUGGGCGGGUCUUGCGGCCAAUCAGCGGCAGAGUCCCGUCCGAUCAGAGCCACCGGCUGACGUUGCCUUCGCCCGGCUUCUUCUCGGAGGGGCCAGCCCCCGCGCGCGCGGCCGGGGGCGGCCCCGAUUGGCCGGCGGGGCGCGGGGCGGGUAGGACGGGGGCGCGCGCGCGGCGGAGGAGGUAAACAAGCCGUCAGCGCGCGAGCGACCGUUGGAGCCGGGCGCAAAGGCAGGGGCGGGGCCGGCCGUCUGAGGGGAGCGGAGCGCGCGCGGCACCGGCGGCCCCGCAGGGCUCCCCCGGCCCCGGCAGCCCCCCCGCGACUCGCGUGCCUGUUCCGGCAUAAGGCAGGGUGGUUUUAGUAAAGCGCAACGGCCGGUGGUAAGGUGCGGGGUGGCUUUUCUUAUUUUUGUUACGCUGCUAUGUCACUUGACAAUUGUCGCGGGUUUGGGGACAAUUGUCCUGGGUUUGGGCUCGCCCAACGCCAGCCAGCCUUGGGUUUGGCAGGAUCAGCAAACCUGCCUUACGUCUGUGGCCGCUUGAUACAGCGUGUGGUCUUCAGUCAGUGGUGUCCAAGCAGGCCGCUGGCAUGAUCCCUGAAUUCCAGAUCAAAACAUGGGCUCGACGUUGCCAGAUGUGCCGGAGUUCCACCAUUUGAGGGGCAGUAUUGGAGGGUGUGGAACCGUGCCCAGCCCUUUACCCGCCUGCACGGUGCGUGCCCCGUCGCUCAGCACAUCCCCACCGAGGGUCCCGGCGGUGGCAUUCCCUUGGCGCAGCCGCGGCCCUCUCCGUGUGCUGUCGUGGCCAGGAACAGGAGCAGCUUUCCCACCUCUGGGUGUUGCGCCGCAGCGUGGUAGCGGUUGUCCCGCUGUGGAGGUCGGGGUGUUGCCCACCAAUGCAGCCCCUUCUCUUUUUUAAUAAAUGUACCCCUGCCAAAGGUAUAUUUCAUUUGAGUUAGGAGUUUGUGUGUAUCAGUCAUGUAUGCGUAAAAAUAAACUUUUUUUUUUCUGUAA
Phalacrocorax carbo (great cormorant) is the source of this 1234-nucleotide non-coding RNA. The record is from RefSeq and is a predicted model, not a curated record. Lineage: Eukaryota; Metazoa; Chordata; Aves; Suliformes; Phalacrocoracidae.